UCUCCCUUCUCCAUGCCUCCUUUCCUCCCUCUCUUCUCUUCCAUGCCCAAGGAUUGGGCAUCCCAUACGCCAAUAGUAGAGGUGCUUUUCCAUCUACAGCAAAAAAUAAGAAGAAGAAGAAAAAGGCUACAGAUCAAGAAGUUGAUCUCACAGUUUAGAUCAAGGAGUUGAUCGAAGUUUCAAGGCUAAGAUUCUACUUAAAGAAGAAGAACUACUAUAAGAAGAUCAGUUCGAGUUGAUCCUGAUGGAUAUCUGUAGAGACUGGAUAUGUGUGCGGCUCGAGGAUCUACGAAUCCGUGAUCAUCGAUAGCGGUGAAUAUCUAUCCGUGCUAAGGUAUCGAGAUGCGAUCUCAUACUUAUUUUUAAAUUUCAGAUUAUAUAUUUGUUUUUCUUCUGGACUUGGGUAGGAUUAGAUUUUAUCUUAAGCAUAUGGAGCUAAAGGGUUUAACCCAUUUAUUUUUUCACUGCGUUUAAAAGAGUUUUGAAAUAUACACAUGCUACC
Molecule: long non-coding RNA, 502 nt
Filed under: Elaeis guineensis (African oil palm)
Lineage: Eukaryota; Viridiplantae; Streptophyta; Magnoliopsida; Arecales; Arecaceae
Description: long non-coding RNA (EGUI_LNC070023)
Source: RNAcentral